GUGCUUGCCUUGGCAGCGCAUAUACUAAGGUUGGAACAAUACAGAGAAGAUUAGCAUGGCCCUUGAGCAAGGAUAACACUCAAAUUCGUGAAGUGUUCUAUAUUAAA
Molecule: small nuclear RNA, 107 nt
Filed under: Phascolarctos cinereus (koala)
Lineage: Eukaryota; Metazoa; Chordata; Mammalia; Diprotodontia; Phascolarctidae
Source: RNAcentral